GAUGAACGCUAGCGGCAGGCUUAACACAUGCAAGUCGAGGGGCAACACGGGUAGCAAUACCUGGUGGCGACCGGCGCAAGGGUGCGUAACGCGUGAGCAACAUGCCCUAUACAGGGGGAUAAUCCAGGGAAACUUGGUCUAAUAUCCCAUAGUAUUUAGAGGUGGCAUCACCACUAAAUUAAAGCUUCGGUGGUAUAGGAUUGGCUCGCGUGACAUUAGCUGGAUGGUGGGGUAACGGCUCACCAUGGCGAUGAUGUCUAGGGGUUCUGAGAGGAAGACCCCCCACACUGGGACUGAGACACGGCCCAGACUCCUACGGGAGGCAGCAGUGAGGAAUAUUGGACAAUGGAUGGAAAUCUGAUCCAGCCAUGCCGCGUGCAGGAAGCGGCCCUAUGGGUUGUAAACUGCUUUUAAUGGGACAAUAAGGUCUACGCGUAGACCGAUGAGAGUACCAUAUGAAUAAGCAUCGGCUAACUCCGUCG
RNAcentral lists this ribosomal RNA (482 nucleotides) under uncultured bacterium. RNAcentral's name for it is "bacterial SSU rRNA". It matches the Rfam family "Bacterial small subunit ribosomal RNA", at positions 28 to 508 of the family's 1533-position model. The record is from RNAcentral.